RNAcentral lists this transfer RNA (30 nucleotides) under Utricularia uliginosa. RNAcentral's name for it is "partial tRNA-His". The record is from RNAcentral. Lineage: Eukaryota; Viridiplantae; Streptophyta; Magnoliopsida; Lamiales; Lentibulariaceae. RNAcentral also lists the same sequence under 1 other name.
GGCGGAUGUGGCCAAGUGGAUUAAGGCAAU